RNAcentral lists this long non-coding RNA (233 nucleotides) under Dasypus novemcinctus (nine-banded armadillo). Its description in RNAcentral is "lncRNA (ENSDNOG00000051249.1)". Lineage: Eukaryota; Metazoa; Chordata; Mammalia; Cingulata; Dasypodidae. The record is from RNAcentral.
GGAAGUGGGUAGUAGAAGCUUUCAAAAACUUUUCUCCUAGUGGCAUGACUUAAAGAGAAUUCCCAUGAUUCUGAAGAAACAUCUUCAGUCUGGCCACAGCUCAAUGCAUCCUAUUUCUGCAAUUUGGAGUUUAAAAGGCGAGUGAUUUGUAUCCAUCAGCUCUGCAGUGACAACAGGGCUAAAUCCAUCAUUUGGCAUUACUUGGUCUUCCUGCGCAGGCUGCCAAAUGCCUU